Long non-coding RNA from Lathyrus oleraceus (garden pea), 1728 nucleotides. RefSeq lists it as uncharacterized. The transcript has 3 exons. NCBI's taxonomy places the organism in Eukaryota, Viridiplantae, Streptophyta, Magnoliopsida, Fabales, Fabaceae. The record is from RefSeq and is a predicted model, not a curated record.
UUGGUAUCUCAUAUGGAUUUUAUCGAUGUUGUCUAUGUCCCGCUUUCACUCUUUCCAUUAGUCCAAGACAAUCAGUGUUUACUUUCACAUUCCUUUUUCCCAUCACCAUAGUCAUCAUAAGAGAGUUUAUCACCGCUUGAGCCUUCGCUACCAUGGGAUUGUGGAGUCUUGUUGAUUUCAAGUGACCUCAGCUUCAACAUGUCCCUUGUUGUUUUGAUAGAUCGCUCACAUAUUCCAUUCACCCUUUACCGUCAGAUUUGUAUCAGUAUUGUGUUACAUGUAUCCUUAUCAGUGUUCUUUGUUUUUGUUCUUGGGUUUCCCCCGCUAUUGACAACCACUUUCACUUCCUUUAAACUGCCAUGAUCCUCCCUCGCCUUGCUUUUUUGUAGUUGCCUCUAUGAUGGAUCUGUGACAUCGGUAUUUGUUUCUCUUUGCUAUUAUUUUCAUUAUUUUUCAUCUGCAUGUGGUCUUUCUUAGUUCUAAUUUGCUUCGAUUUGUCUUGGUGAUUACUUUUUUGGUGCAAGUCAUUGUUGUUGAUGUUAUUGUUGCUUUUGUUUCUCCCUAGUUGCUUCCUUCCAUUCCUUUGCUCAUCCUUAGUACACUACUAUCUUUUCCUUUUGGAUGUUUUUCAAGUUUCUUGUUUUCUUUCCGCUUGUCUUCGUUGCACUUCUCGAUCCUAUCUUCGGGAUAGCCACUGAACAACUCCUUUAUGGAAGGAUGCUCAUCCCUACGGUGAAUGGAAUAUCCCUCAUUAUCGCUGCCUUUGUACCCAAUACACCUAUUCAUUAAGGUAAUUAGCUAGUCUUCACUUUUAUUGUCAGUGCCAUCAUUUUUUGUUUAUGCUUUUGGAUUUAACAUCAUUGUUCGGUUUUUUCAUGUUCUGCUGAGGUUGUCUGUUGUCCAUAGAUCCCUUGACUUUAUCAUUUGGGUUCUUUGUUUUGGAGGUGGAUCUCUUCUUAUUUUCACUCUCAUAACCCAUUUCUUUCAUCGCCUGACUAGUAUUAUGAUUUUUAUUAAUUCUUCUUUUUCCACCAAGAUCAUCCAUUAUGUGGUUCAUUCCCAUGUCAUGAUGUUGUUAAACCUUAAUAAUGCUCUUAUUGUUUUUAUCUCUUUCUGCAGACUGUAAGUUUUAUCUCCCCUCUUACUCUUUCUUAUCUUAGCAUCCUAGUUAUUACCCUUUUAUUUCUAUUAUCUUGAUGAGUAUUUGAUUGUUGACACUUUCUUCCCUCUUGAUUGAACAUAUUGCCAGCAUAGUUGAUAAUAUUAUCUAUAGAGAGAUAUGUUUCCUCAAAGAUAUUAUUAUUCCUAUCCCACCAUAUUCCAUAGAGAAUAACCAUAACAUAGUGUAAGGUCUCAUUAUCUUUGUCCUUUAGGUUUUGCCAUAACCAAUCAUUUAUAUUCUCUUCCUUCUCAUAGUUGAGGUUUAAGUUAUGCAUGGAUCCAAAUCAAAUUUUCUUAGUCCACUCACAACUAAGGAAUAUGUGAUCAUCCAUUUCCUCGUGAGUCUUACAGUUAGGGCAGAAAAAGGGCAUCUCAGCCCCGAGCACCCCUGAUCGGAACUGCGUUGUUGAGGAUUUUCCAAGUUAGCAUCAUCACUUUAGGUUGAGUCUUUAUUAACCAUAAUUUCGUCCAUACCUUUUCCUUAUCUUUGUAGUUAGAGGGGUCAGGUUUAUUACUAUUACUAAGAGUAUUAAAAUGACGGUACCCUGAUUUCAUAGGGUAAUUUCC